Homo sapiens (human) is the source of this 4197-nucleotide long non-coding RNA. RefSeq annotates it as SOX30 antisense RNA 1. The record is from RefSeq and is a predicted model, not a curated record. The transcript is spliced from 3 exons. NCBI's taxonomy places the organism in Eukaryota, Metazoa, Chordata, Mammalia, Primates, Hominidae.
GGCUUCCUCGUUCUGGGCCUGAGGCUGUGGUAGCAGCAACACCUGCUCUGGCUUCACCUGCAGCAGCCGCCGCACCGCGGGCUGUAAGCCGGACGCCACUGCCUCCCCGCACGACGAGGCCAAGGUCGCACUGGCUGCCGCGCUCAGUGUGGGAGACGACGGAGGGGGCUCCAUGGCUGCUGCCCAAAAGGAGGUGCCCUCGACCGGCAGCGGGGGCGGAGCGGGACGCAACGGGCGCGGCUGAGGCGGCGGCUCGGGUCUGGCUCUCUCCAUGGGGGAGGGGGACGCCCCGGCCAGGAUUGUGAGCUCAGCCGUUUGUUGGCGACCUUCCCCCUCCCCCUUUCGGUUAAGAGCCUUGCAAGGCCUUUGCUACCCAGAACCCUACGCGGUUCAAAACGCAGCUGUCUGUCUGGGCCUCACCCAAUCACAACGACCGAUACCCGUGGACGGCCAAUCACAGGCGGGUUUUCCGGCUCUUCCUGGUCCCUACUCUCGCCUCGUGCUGAGUCCUCGAAUCACCUGCCAUGGACACAAUUGGAAACAGUGGUUAUUUUACCAACGCUUUGACUGGAAUGGCACGUUUUCCUUUAAGGAAUCAAACUUGACUUGUAAAGCCAAUAAAAGCCCCUUGGGGAAUUGGCCUCAGACCUUGUCUACAACAGCCCCUGUACAGGGUUUCUGACCUGUGAUAUCACCUUUUGUCAAAACUCGGAGUUAUGAAUUGCCCUCGCCAUACUGAUGCUUUCUGACUGAGCUCCUCUCUACCCUGAAUACAAGAGACUCUCAUAGUUAAGCAAGAAUAUCAUUGCUCCUAUUCAGCAUGAAGAAGUUACAGAAGAUGGAUUUUCAACCCUCUGCAACCCUUAGGAUUAAAAUUAUACAAACCUUUAGGAUUAUAAAAGGGAGGGGGUAAUGUCAGGCGUGUGAACCAGAGCAACUCCAUUUUGAGUAGAAGCUGUGUAAAACGAGGCUGAAACCUACUAGGCUGCAUUCCCAGACAGUUAAGGCAUUCUAAGUCACAGGAUGAGAUAGGAGGCUGGCAUAAAAUACAGGUCAUAAACAGCUUGCAGAUAAAACAGGUUGCAGUAAAGAAGCUGGCUAAAACCCACCAAAACCUAGAUGGUGACAAGAGUCACUUCUUAUCAUCCUCACUGCUACACUCCCACCAGUGCCAUGAUAGUUUACAGAUGCCAUGGCAACAUCAGGACAUUACCCUAUAUGGUCUAAAAAGGGAUGCAUGAAUAAUUCACCCCUUGUUUAGCAUAUCAUCAAGUACUAACCAUAAAAAUGGGCAACCAGCACUCUGUCUAUGGAGUAGCCAUUCUUUUAUUGCUUUACUUUCUUAAACGUGCUUUCACUUUACUCUGUGGACUCAUCCUGAAUUCUUUCUUGUGUGAGAUCCAAGAACCUUCUCUUGGGUUCUGGACCUGGACCCCUUUCCUGUAACAUCUUUCUGGUGACCCAGAUGAGCCUAUAGUGCAGAUAUUCCCAGUAAGUGCUAGGAUCCUGUAACGUCUUUCUGGUGACCAUGGAAUGGUCCCACUAUACUGUGGAAACCCCCAACUCAAAGGCUAACUUUGGGUAAGUGGUGGGGUCCAAUAAGAAAGUUAGUGUUAAUUUUGUGCAAGGUUUCAGUUCAUAUUCUGAUUUCAGUUAUCAAAAUGUAAUUGACAAUAGAUGCAUGGGUGUAUUUCUGAACUCUCUGUUCUGUUCCUUCCAUUCCUUCCAUCUAUGUACUAUAAACCAAAAGUAUCUGAGGCAAGCCUUAAUCAAUUUAGAAGUUUAUUUUGCCAAGGUUAAGGACAUCCCCGUGACACAGCCUCAAGAAGUCCUGACAACAUGUCACCAAGGUGGUCAGGCUACAGCUUGCUUUUAUACAUUUUAGGGAGACAUAGGACAUCAUUCAAUACUGUAAGAUGUACAUAGCUUCAGUCCAGAGAGGUGUGACAACUCAAAUCAGGGCUUCCAGAUCACAGGUGGAUUCAAAGAUUUUCUGAAUGGCAAUUGGUUGAAAGACUUAUCUAAAGACCUAGAAUCAACAGAAGGGAGUGUCUGGGUUAAGAUAUGGGGUUGUGGAUACCAAGGUUCUUAUUAUGCAGAUAAAGCCUCCAGAUAGUAGGCUUCAGAGAAUAUCAGACCUAAAAAGUCUAUUCUGUCAGUCUGAAAGUCGCUGUUUCUAUGUUAAUGCUGGUCAGCUGUGCCUGAAUUCCAACGGGAGGAAUGUUUAAUGAGGCAUGUCUGACCACCCAUUCCCAUUGUAGCCUGAGCUAGUGUUUUAGGUUUACUUUAAAAUGCCCUAGCCUGGUGCAGUUGUUCAUGCCUGCAUUCCCAGCACUUUGGAAGGCUGAGGCAAAAGUAUUGCUUGAGUCCAAGAAUUUUAGACCGACAUGGGCAACGUGGCAAAAUCUCGUCUCUACAAAACAAUACAAAAAUUAGCCAGGUGUGAUGGCCUGUGCCUGUAGUCCUAGCUACUCGGGAGGCCGAGGCUGGAGAAUUGCUUGAGUUCAGGAAGCAGAGGUUGCAGUGAGCUGAGACUGCACCAGUGCACUCCAGCCUGGGCAACAGAGUGAGACUCUGUCUCAAAAAUAUAAAAUAAAAUAAAAUAAAAUAAAGUAAAGUAAAAUAAAAUAAAAUAUAAAAUAAAAUAAUAAAAUAUAAAAAAUAUACCCUUGGCCAAAAGGAGGGGUCCAUUUCAUUGGUUGGGGAAUUUAGAAUUUUAUUUUUGGUUUACAGUAUCUCUUUUUUUUUCUUUUGUUACAAAUGGGGUUCUUACUCUGUUACCCAGGCUGGAUUAUAGGCAUGAGUCACCGUGCCAAGCUAUAUACAUAUUUUUAUGCCAGUACCACAGUCUUGAUUACUCUAGCUUUAUGGUAAAUUUUGAAAUUUUGAAAUCAUGUAAGUCCUUGAACUUUGUUCUUUCAUUAAAUCAUAUUGGCUUUUCUUGGUCCUUUGGAUUUAAAAGAUAAAUUUUAGGUUCAUCAUAUCAAUUUCUUUUAAAGCAAACCCUAAUGGUAUUUAGAUAGAAAUUAUAUUGAAUCUAUGGAUCAAUUUUGGGAAAACUGACACCUUGAUGAUACUGUAUUUUCCUAUUUGCAAACAUGGGACAUAUCUCCAUUUAUUUAGGUCUUAAUUUCCUUUGACAAUGUUUUAUAAUUUUCAGUGUACUGUCCUGUACUUCUUUCAUUAACUUUAUUUCUAAAUCCUUUAUUCUUUUUAUGCUAUUUGUGAAUGUAAUUUUUUAAAAUUUCCUUUGCAGUUGGUUGUAUGUUGAUUUUUGUAUUUUUAUUUUCUUACCUUAUUGCACUGGCUGGAACUUUUAGUCCAAGGUUAAAUAGAAGUGGUGAGAGUGUACAUCCUUUUGCCUUGCACCCAGUCUUAGGAAGAAAGCAUCCAGUCAUUCACCUUUAAGCAUGUUGUUAGUCAUAGGUUUAUGUAGCUGCCUUUUAUCAAAGUAAGAAAGUUUCCUUCUAUUCCUAGUUUAUUGAGAAUUCUACCAUGAAUAGUAGUUCAAUUUUAUCAAAUGCUUUGUCUGUGUCUAUUGAGAUGAUUAUAUGGCUUUUUCCUUUAAGGGUCAGCAACAUUUUCCAGAAAAGGCUAUAUAGUAAAUAUUUUUGGUUUUGUGAGCCAUAUGAGCUCUGUUGCAACCAAUCAACUCUGCUUUGUAGCAGAAAGCAAUCAUAGACAAUAUGCAAAUGAAUGGGCUUGGCUUUGUUUCAGUAAACUUUAUUUGCAAAAACAAAUGUCAUGCCAGAUUUGGCCCAAGGGCUAUAGUUUGCUUUUGGCUAUAGUUUGCUGACCACUGAUUUAUUCUAUUAAUAUAUGUAUUACAUGAAUUGAUACUCAGAUGUUAAGCUAAAGAACAUUCCUGUAAUAAAUCGACCACACUUGGUAAUAGUGUAUAAUCCUUUUUGUACAUUACUGGAUCUAAUUUGUUGUUAUUUAAACAAUUUUAGCAUUUACAUUCAUGACGAGUGUUGUUCUAUAAUUUUCUUGUGAUAUCUUUGUCUGUGGCUUUUAGUAUCAGGGUAAAAUGAGCUGUAAAGUGUCCCCUUCUAUUCUUGAAAAGAUUUCCAUUGGAUUGGUAUUAUUAAUUAUUUAAAUGUUAAUAGAGUUCCCAAUAAAACCAUGGAGGCCUGGACUUUGCUUUGAAGAAGAUUCUAAAAUAAUUUAAUUAAACGCUUUAAUGUUUUUCACUGA